This 473-nucleotide ribosomal RNA is filed under the name uncultured bacterium. Its description in RNAcentral is "partial 16S ribosomal RNA". It matches the Rfam family "Bacterial small subunit ribosomal RNA", at positions 28 to 507 of the family's 1533-position model. The record is from RNAcentral.
GAUGAACGCUAGCGGCAGGCCUAAUACAUGCAAGUCGAACGGGUGGUCGCAAGACCACUAGUGGCGCACGGGUGCGUAACGCGUAACCAACCUGCCCCGAUCUGGGGGAUAGCCCGCCGAAAGGCGGAUUAAUACCGCAUAUACCCGCAGCCUGGCAUCAGGCAACGGGGAAAGAUUUAUUGGAUCGGGAUGGGGUUGCGUGACAUUAGCUAGUUGGCGGGGUAAGGGCCCACCAAGGCGACGAUGUCUAGGGGACCUGAGAGGGUGAUCCCCCACACUGGCACUGAGAUACGGGCCAGACUCCUACGAGAGGCAGCAGUAGGGAGUAUUGGGCAAUGGGCGAGAGCCUGACCCAGCCAUGCAGCGUGCCGGAUGAAGGCCUUCUGGGUUGUAAACGGCUUUUCUCAGGGAAGAAAAAGACCUUGCGAGGUACACUGACGGUACCUGAGGAAUAAGCACCGGCUAACUCCGUG